ACGCUGGCGGCGUGCCUAACACAUGCAAGUCGAACGGGGAUUUGUUUCGGCAGAAUCCUAGUGGCGAACGGGUGAGUAACGCGUAGGCAACCUGCCCCCCGGGUUGGGACAACACCCCGAAAGGGGUGCUAAUACCGGAUACGAAGAUAACACCGCAUGGUGUUAUUUUGAAAGAUAGCCUCUAUUUAUAAGCUAUCGCCGGGGGAUGGGCCUGCGUCCGAUUAGCUGGUUGGUGGGGUAACGGCCUACCAAGGCGACGAUCGGUAGCCGGUCUGAGAGGAUGAACGGCCACAUUGGGACUGAGACACGGCCCAGACUCCUACGGGAGGCAGCAGUGGGGAAUCUUCCGCAAUGGGCGAAAGCCUGACGGAGCAACGCCGCGUGGGUGAGGAAAGUUCUUCGGAACGUAAAGCCCUGUUGUACAUGACGAACGUGCUUUCUAUCAACAACGGGAAGCAAUGACGGUAGUGUACGAGGAAGCCACGGCUAACUACGUGCCAGCAGCCGC
RNAcentral lists this ribosomal RNA (508 nucleotides) under uncultured bacterium. RNAcentral's name for it is "bacterial SSU rRNA". It matches the Rfam family "Bacterial small subunit ribosomal RNA", at positions 33 to 518 of the family's 1533-position model. The record is from RNAcentral.